GCACGCGUAGCUUAAACCAAAGCAUAACACUGAAGAUGUUAAGAUGAGCCCUAAAAAGCUUCGUGGGCA
Molecule: transfer RNA, 69 nt
Filed under: Plectorhinchus orientalis (oriental sweetlips)
Lineage: Eukaryota; Metazoa; Chordata; Actinopteri; Lutjaniformes; Haemulidae
Also listed under: 1 other name
Description: tRNA-Phe
Rfam family: tRNA
About the family: Transfer RNA (tRNA) molecules are approximately 80 nucleotides in length. Their secondary structure includes four short double-helical elements and three loops (D, anti-codon, and T loops).
Source: RNAcentral